Molecule: ribosomal RNA, 427 nt
Filed under: uncultured prokaryote
Description: bacterial SSU rRNA
Rfam family: Bacterial small subunit ribosomal RNA
Source: RNAcentral
UAGGGAAUCUUGGACAAUGGGCGCAAGCCUGAUCCAGCCAUGCCGCGUGGGCGAGGAAGGUCUUCGGAUCGUAAAGCCCUUUUCUUGGGGAAGAACCGCCUUUUGAGGAAAUGCUUAAGGUCUGACGGUACCCAAGGAAUAAGCAACGGCUAACUCCGUGCCAGCAGCCGCGGUAAUACGGAGGUUGCAAGCGGUGUUCGGAAUGACUGGGCGUAAAGGGAGCGCAGGCGGCUUGUUAAGUCUGGAGUGAAAGCCCGGGGCUCAACCCCGGCGGGUCUUCGGAUACUGGCAAGCUAGAGUACGGAAGAGGAAAGCGGAAUUCCAGGUGUAGCGGUGAAAUGCGUAGAUAUCUGGAGGAACACCGGUGGCGAAAGCGGCUUUCUGGUCCGAUACUGACGCUCAGGCUCGAAAGCGUGGGGAGCAAACG